This 253-nucleotide ribosomal RNA is filed under the name uncultured bacterium. RNAcentral describes it as "partial 16S ribosomal RNA". It matches the Rfam family "Bacterial small subunit ribosomal RNA", at positions 524 to 776 of the family's 1533-position model. The record is from RNAcentral.
UACGAAGGGGGCUAGCGUUGCUCGGAAUUACUGGGCGUAAAGGGCGCGUAGGCGGCACUGUUAGUCAGGCGUGAAAUUCCUGGGCUCAACCUGGGGACUGCGCUUGACACGGCAGAGCUAGAGGAUGGAAGAGGCUCGCGGAAUUCCCAGUGUAGAGGUGAAAUUCGUAGAUAUUGGGAAGAACACCGGUGGCGAAGGCGGCGAGCUGGUCCAUUACUGACGCUGAGGCGCGACAGCGUGGGGAGCAAACAGG